CGCUCAGAAGCUAAUAGGUUUUAGCAUUAACCUUUUAAGUUAACCCUAGGUGAUUACCGCUCACCCUUAGCGA
Molecule: non-coding RNA, 73 nt
Organism: Monopterus albus (swamp eel)
Lineage: Eukaryota; Metazoa; Chordata; Actinopteri; Synbranchiformes; Synbranchidae
Source: Ensembl